UCUAAUAUGGCAGAUUAGUGCAAUGAAUUUAAGAUUCAUAUAUAAAAUAUAUUUUUUAUUGGAA
RNAcentral lists this transfer RNA (64 nucleotides) under Kikihia cutora cumberi. RNAcentral's name for it is "tRNA-Leu". The record is from RNAcentral. Lineage: Eukaryota; Metazoa; Arthropoda; Insecta; Hemiptera; Cicadidae.